This is a long non-coding RNA of Chinchilla lanigera (long-tailed chinchilla), 941 nucleotides long. RefSeq lists it as uncharacterized. The record is from RefSeq and is a predicted model, not a curated record. The transcript has 3 exons. NCBI's taxonomy places the organism in Eukaryota, Metazoa, Chordata, Mammalia, Rodentia, Chinchillidae.
AGCUUCGCAGCUUCGAAUUUCAGCGCCUGUCCGGCAGCCACUGCACCCUUGUCCAUCUCUGAGGCUUUAAACUGAGAAGGUCCACAGAGGAAAGCAUGCCACAGUAUUUUUCCAAAAUCCUUCUAUCCUAAGGAACAGCUAAGAAGUAACUAGUCAGGGAAAAGAUUUCUUCCUAGAUCCAGAUGAAUAGAACUGAGAAGCAAUCGAAGCUCGCGCUGGCAACAGUUGUGGCGUAAAGCAAGCGCAGUUGGGCUGUUUGAUCUCUAAGUCCUCGGGUAAUUGGAGUCUACACAGCAUGUGGAAUGUGGAAUUGGGCCUGAGCCGUGGCCCGCAUGCCCAAAGCCUGCUGCUGGCCUGCCUGGAGCACCAUUUGCCCCUGGCUAGGUUCCGCCUGCAUCCGGAGUUCUGCUUUGACACAGACCUUGUUUCCAAGCUGAGAAGAUGAAGACGCGGUGGAGACUGGAAAUAGAAGGCAUACCGUUUGUUAUCGGGUGCACAGAGGUUGAACGGUACUCAGAAGCGCCGCUAGGCAAGGCUGUACCAGCUGGCCCAACCCGAUGUCCCUGUUCUAAGAAACCAUGGCUGGUUUCAGGUUGGAGGGGCCUGAUACUUCUUGGAGAAAAGAAACAAAAAUUAUCAAUAUGAAAUAUGAUGCCAUGGAGCAGGACCUGUGAGACAAAGGCCUGAAGACAAGUUGCCUUCACAUAAAAUAAAGGUAACUAGUAGUGAACAGUUAUUAAUGCAGUUAACAUUAUUAUGUCCAUUUCACAGACAAAAAAGUUGAGGCACAAAGGAGGUUGUGUAACAUCCUCAGUCACCUACAACAUCCCAUGCUCAGAGUCCUAAGCCAGAAAUAAUGCCCAGGGUGUGGGGAGGAGGUAGCGACACUUGGAAAACACAGUCACCUGGCUUUCUUCAAAUUUAAAAGCCCAGUCGGGCAU